RNAcentral lists this ribosomal RNA (559 nucleotides) under Dactylogyrus aristichthys. RNAcentral's name for it is "eukaryotic LSU rRNA". The stretch from base 3 to 155 matches the Rfam family "5.8S ribosomal RNA". Lineage: Eukaryota; Metazoa; Platyhelminthes; Monogenea; Dactylogyridea; Dactylogyridae. The record is from RNAcentral.
ACAACUGCAAGUGGUGGAUCACUCGGCUCGUGUGUCGAUGAAGAGUGCAGCAAACUGUGUGAACUGAUGUGAAUCGCAGACUGCUACGAACAUCGACUUCUUGAACGCAACUGGCGGUCGUGGGCUUGCCCAUGGCCACGUUUGACUGAGAGUCGGCUUAUAAACUAUCGCAACGCUUGAUUGGUUGCGUAUUGGACAGUUUGCUUGCCGCCGUUAUUUAGCCGUCCCCUCGCGGGAUGGUCCGGCUGUGUAGGCUCUGUCUUAAGAUACUAAUAGCGCUCUUGAUCUCAUGCCUUUGUGCGUGGUGGUGUAUCUUGCUCGAGUUCGUGUGUAUUUAGUUCAAGGCCUUCAACCGGACAGGUGUGGCUUAAUUGUAACGCUAGUCCAUAUUGGAUUGCUGUUGCUGUGCCUUGAAUAGAACUCUGAGCGUGCAUUGCCAUGUGCUUAGUUGACGACUGGAGAUGAAGAUGGUACGCUAUUGAUACAAUAUCUUGAAUGGACAUACAGCUCCAUUGCCCGGCCUCAGUUCAAUCGUGAUUACCCGCUGAAUUUAAGCAUA